CCUACGGGUGGCAGCAGUCGAGAAUCAUUCACAAUGGGGGAAACCCUGAUGGUGCGACGCCGCGUGGGUGAAUGAAGGUCUUCGGAUUUUAAACCCCUGUCAUGUGGGAGCAAAUUACAAUGAUAGUACAAGAAGAGGAAGAGACGGCUAACUCUGUGCCAGCAGCCGCGGUAAUACAGAGGUCGCAAGCGUUGUUCGGAUUCACUGGGCGUAAAGCGUGCGUAGGCUGUAUCGUAAGUCGUGUGUGAAAGGCGCGGGCUCAACCCGCGGACGGAAAAUGAUACUGCGUGACUAGAGUAAUGGAGGGGGAAGCGGAAUUCGCGGUGUAGCAGUGAAAUGCGUAGAUAUCGAGAGGAACACUCGUGGCGAAGGCGGGUUGCUGGACAUUAACUGACGCUGAGGCACGAAGGCCAGGGGAGCGAAAGGGAUUAGAUACCCCAGUAGUC
RNAcentral lists this ribosomal RNA (446 nucleotides) under uncultured bacterium. RNAcentral's name for it is "partial 16S ribosomal RNA". It matches the Rfam family "Bacterial small subunit ribosomal RNA", at positions 338 to 795 of the family's 1533-position model. The record is from RNAcentral.